RNAcentral lists this ribosomal RNA (1084 nucleotides) under uncultured bacterium. Its description in RNAcentral is "bacterial SSU rRNA". It matches the Rfam family "Bacterial small subunit ribosomal RNA", at positions 8 to 1111 of the family's 1533-position model. The record is from RNAcentral.
AGAGUUUGAUCCUGGCUCAGAUUGAACGCUGGCGGUAUGCUUAACACAUGCAAGUCGAACGAGAGUUUUGAACUCGGUGGGCGGACGGUGGAGUAACGCUGAAUAAUUUGCGUUUAUCAGGCGGACAACGAUUGAAAACUAUUGCUAAUACCCCAUAUGCUUUUUCACUGAAAUGGAUUUUUCCGCCUAAAGAGAAGCUUGCGGCUGAUUAGCUUGAUGGUAAAGUUAUGGCUUACAUGGGCUACCAUCGCUAUCUGGUUUGACAGGACUAUCAGAAACACUGGAACUGAGACACCGGCCACACUCCCCCGAGAGGCACCGGUGGGGAAUUUUCCGCAAUGGGCAAAAGCCUGACGGAGCUGUUCCGCGUGAGGGAUGACGGCCUAUGGGUUGUAAACCUCUUUUUUCUGGGAGGAAGGAUGACGUGUACCUGACCAAUAAACAUCGCCUAACUCCGUGCCAUGCCCCCCGCCAAGACAGAAGAUGCGGGUGUUAUCCGGAAUCACUGUACGGAAAGCGUCUGUCGGUGGUUUAAUAACUCAACUGUUAAAUCUUGACCCUCAACUUCACAAUCGAAUUGCAUACUAUUCUACUAGAGCUAUAGUAUGGGUAAAGGGAAUUUCCUUUGGAGCGGAGAAAUGCGUAGAGAUUGUAUAGAACACCGAUGGCGAGGGCACUUUACUGACCUAUGACUAUACUGACGAUACGAUGCUAGGCUAGCAAAGCAGAUUAGAUACCCCACUAGUCCUAGCCAUACCAAUGCAUACUAGAUGAUGAACAGAUCGACCUGUGCAGUAUAAAGCUAACGCGACACGUAUACCUUCCUGGCAAGGAUGCUCGUAAGAGUGAGCUCAAACGGAAUUGAAGUGGACGCGCACCAGCAGAGCAGCAUGGAGGAUGUAGUUCGAUGUCAACUGCGAACGACCAUUACAUGGCUUGCUCAUGAUCCUCAUUUCACUGUUACAAAGAAAUGUGACGCUUGCCACCGGAUACCCAUGGUGGACUGCAUGGCUCGUAUUCGCUCAGCUUCAGUCUUGGGAACUCUGGUGGAGAGUUAAGGUGUUCUCAGCGAUUCCCGCGUGUG